RNAcentral lists this long non-coding RNA (582 nucleotides) under Chloebia gouldiae (Gouldian finch). Its description in RNAcentral is "Erythrura gouldiae (Gouldian finch) lncRNA (ENSEGOG00005007532.1)". Lineage: Eukaryota; Metazoa; Chordata; Aves; Passeriformes; Passeridae. The record is from RNAcentral.
CAACAGUAAGUCUCAACAGAAAGAGAAUACAAACUAUCCUUUAUAUCACCACCACAGAUGGACCAGCUUCAGAGGGACCAACUUGUCAGCAGCAGAACUUUAGUAUUUGGUUCUGCACAGCUCUCAACUCUGACCUGUGACCUCUGGGGAAGCACAGUGAGAGGAAUCUGCUGUGACGCCUCUUGUUUUCCUGAUCUAUUAUACAGGAUACAUUCAUAUACGGGAGAGGACUGCGAAUAUCAGACUGAAGACCUCAACAAGAAACCCUCCCAUGCUGAGACACUCAGGCUACAACUGAACUAUGGAACUCAAACAUCCUGACUGCUCAGGUAUGUGAGCAUCCUGCAGCUGCAUCCCGUGUGCACACUGAAAGGGACCAGCAUUCUUACCACCCCAUUCUGCUUCCUCGUUCUCUCCUUCUGCGUGUGCUCCAACAGCUGCUGCAGAUGGCAUGAUACAGGACUGCAGGUACUGAGGUUCAGUUUAGCUGUGUAUUUGCAGACUGACUUGGUUCUUGGGAUCCCAUGGGCUUAAACUGGGAUGCAGACUCUUGAGUUGACAAAUAUCUUGACAGUAAAUCUG